This 301-nucleotide ribosomal RNA is filed under the name uncultured bacterium. RNAcentral describes it as "partial 16S ribosomal RNA". It matches the Rfam family "Bacterial small subunit ribosomal RNA", at positions 509 to 807 of the family's 1533-position model. The record is from RNAcentral.
CAGCAGCCGCGGUAAUACAGAGGGUGCGAGCGUUAAUCGGAUUUACUGGGCGUAAAGCGUGCGUAGGCGGCUUUUUAAGUCGGAUGUGAAAUCCCUGAGCUUAACUUAGGAAUUGCAUUCGAUACUGGGAAGCUAGAGUAUGGGAGAGGAUGGAAGAAUUCCAGGUGUAGCGGUGAAAUGCGUAGAGAUCUGGAGGAAUACCGAUGGCGAAGGCAGCCAUCUGGCCUAAUACUGACGCUGAGGUACGAAAGCAUGGGGAGCAAACAGGAUUAGAUACCCGAGUAGUCCCUGUCUCUUAUAC